AGAGUUUGAUCAUGGCUCAGGACGAACGCUGGCGGUGUGCUUAACACAUGCAAGUGGAGCGACGAACCAGAGCUUGCUCUGGGGCAGAGCCCGAACGGGUGAGUAACACGUGGGUAACCUACCCCGAUGACUGGGACAACCCGAGGAAACUCGGGCUAAUACCGGAUAUGUCCGACAUUCACGAGGAUGUCGAGCAAAGGAAGCUUCGGCCUCCGCAUUGGGACGGGCCCGCGGCCCAUUAGCUAGUUGGUGGGGUAAUGGCCUACCAAGGCUGCGAUGGGUAGCUGGUCUGAGAGGACGAUCAGCCACACUGGGACUGAGACACGGCCCAGACUCCUACGGGAGGCAGCAGUGGGGAAUCUUGCGCAAUGCGCGAAAGCGUGACGCAGCAACACCGCGUGAGGGAAGACGGCCUUCGGGUUGUAAACCUCUUUCAGGAGGGACGAAGGAUGGGCGGUGAAUAGCCGUUCCACCUGACGGUACCUUCAGAAGAAGCACCGGCUAACUACGUGCCAGCAGCCGCGGUAAUACGUAGGGUGCAAGCGUUGUCCGGAAUCAUUGGGCGUAAAGCGCGCGUAGGCGGCCCGAUAAGUCCGCUGUAAAAGUCAACGGCUCAACUGUUGAAAGCCGGUGGAUACUGUCGGGCUAGAGUACGGAAGAGGCAAGUGGAAUUCCUGGUGUAGCGGUGGAAUGCGCAGAUAUCAGGAGGAACACCUAUAGCGAAGGCAGCUUGCUGGGACGUUACUGAGCUAAGGCGCGAAAGCGUGGGGAGCGAACAGGAUUAGAUACCCUAGUAGUCC
Molecule: ribosomal RNA, 800 nt
Filed under: uncultured bacterium
Lineage: Bacteria
Description: bacterial SSU rRNA
Rfam family: Bacterial small subunit ribosomal RNA
Source: RNAcentral